Molecule: long non-coding RNA, 423 nt
Organism: Mauremys reevesii (Reeves's turtle)
Lineage: Eukaryota; Metazoa; Chordata; Testudines; Geoemydidae
Exons: 3
Source: RefSeq, a predicted model, not a curated record
GGCCCGGGAGCGGGGCGGCCCUGCGCCCCCCCCGAACCGGCCCAGCUCCCCAGGCACGGAGCGGGAAGCGCCCGCCCCGGGAGGAGGGCACUGCCCCCCUCAGGGACCAGCAUAACGGGGAGGGGCGGAAGGGGCUGCCCUCCCGCCCCCCGGGACUGAGCCAGGUCCCCCCUGAGAGAAGGAGAUAAUUCCAGAAAAGCAAGAGACAACUGAGGAAAAUACAGGAAUAGUAAGACGUGAGCUGGUAAUGUAGAAAUUUACCUAAACUAUGAUGACCUCUGUGCCCCAUCCAGCCAGUGACUCUGGAGUCAUUCCUAAGGACAGACUUCUCUGAAACCAGGCUUAAUUUGUAAUGAAAGAAGUGCCGGGGCUCAAGCAAUUUUUUUACAUUCGUAACUGAUGCAGCAAGCCCAGAGGUGCCGG